This 212-nucleotide ribosomal RNA is filed under the name uncultured bacterium. RNAcentral describes it as "partial 16S ribosomal RNA". It matches the Rfam family "Bacterial small subunit ribosomal RNA", at positions 1290 to 1500 of the family's 1533-position model. The record is from RNAcentral.
AGUUCGGAUUGGAGGCUGAAAUUACGCCUCCCAUGAAGCCGGAAUUGCUAGUAAUGGCAGGUCAGCAUACUGCCGUGAAUACGUUCCCGGGCCUUGUACACACCGCCCGUCACACCAUGAGAGUUGGGAAUACCCGAAGCCUGUGAGCUAACUUUAAGAGGCAGCAGUCGAAGGUAGAAUCAAUGAUUGGGGUGAAGUCGUAACAAGGUACC